Molecule: ribosomal RNA, 245 nt
Filed under: uncultured bacterium
Lineage: Bacteria
Description: partial 16S ribosomal RNA
Rfam family: Bacterial small subunit ribosomal RNA
Source: RNAcentral
GACGAACGCUGGCGGCGUGCUUAACACAUGCAAGUCGAGCGGUAAGGCCCUUUCGGGGGUACACGAGCGGCGAACGGAUGAGUAACACGUGGGUGACCUGCCCUCAGCUCUGGGAUAAGCCUGGGAAACCGGGUCUAAUACUGGAUAUGACUCCAUGACGCAUGUUGUGGGGUGGAAAGCCUUGUGCGGCUGAGGAUGGGCCCGCGGCCUAUCAGCUUGUUGGUGGGGUGAUGGCCUACCAAGGC